Felis catus (domestic cat) is the source of this 2996-nucleotide long non-coding RNA. RefSeq lists it as uncharacterized. Lineage: Eukaryota; Metazoa; Chordata; Mammalia; Carnivora; Felidae. The transcript has 8 exons. The record is from RefSeq and is a predicted model, not a curated record.
CCAGAGCCCGACGCGGGGCUCGAACUCACGGACCGCGAGAUCGUGACCUGGCUGAAGUCGGACGCUUAACCGACUGCGCCACCCAGGCGCCCCUUGGAUACCAUCUUACAGGUGGGAAAACGGAGAACCAGAGCAGCCAAGUGAUAAGUCCAAGGUCACAUGCCAAUUAGUGGCCAAGCAGAGCCUAGAAUCUAGUUAUUACCCCUUCUUUGGUGUUCUUUCCUCUGUGGCAGAUUUCAAGCACCGAUUUCAACUUAGACUUGCACACCGGAAACCCCCUGGGCAAUUACACUGAUGCCUGGGUCCCCUGCCCCUCGGUUCUGAUUUAGGUGAUGUGAAGUGGGGCCUGGGGCAUCAGGACUUUUCAAAGCUCCCCAGGUGAGGAGAACCUUGGGCUAGUGGUUCUCAAUCCUGGAAUACAUUAAAAUCACAGGGGAGUUUGGAAAAAAGUAGGUAUGCCUGAAGCCCCACCACAACUCAAUCAAAUCGGAAUCUCUGGAAAUAACAUUAAAGGAGAACAAAAGCGGGAGAAUCUUUUGAUGGGAUCUGUCUUCUUUCACUGUCUCUUUUGAUCAGGAAGACUUGACAGCCAGACCCACGUGCCCCGUGGCACUACCACUGCCAAGGCUACGUAUUGUGGGCUCUGAACAAGGAGCCAGACUUCUUGAUUUCAGAAGCUAACAGCAUCCGAGAGGGUCCUCGGGCUUGAGAUUCUCUGCCUUCCUGUCUCGUUAAUUUCAAAUAGCCCCACAAAGUAGUAACAUCACGGAAACGAAAGCCGGCCAGAGAGCAUUUGCAGCUGAAAUCGAGAGGUCUUGCUCUUUCUUCAGAGCCCAUUGGAUCACUGCUCAUGGUGGUCCAACUAGAAUAACCUGGGAAGCUUUCAACGACAACCACACCUUGGCACCAUUCUUGAGAUUCUUAUUCAAUUGGUGAGAUGCAGGGCUUGGGCCGGGGUAGUUUUUAAAAGUUCCCAGGUGCAGUCAGGAGUCGGAAAAGCAUUGAAGGCAGCUGGAUGGCAGGUGCCUCACCUGCACACGGGGGGCUGGAGCGGUUACGCCCUCCUGCGCGUGCCCAGCAUGGGGAGGUGCCUUUGCUGCUCCCCAGCGCGUCACCAGAGAGAAGAUAUGCGGUGUUCCAUCAGCAGGUGGCCACGUCGUCAUUCUUCUCAUUGCUCUUGGGCUUCUUCGGUUAAGCUUGGAAAUAAAAGGUCUCUGUGGUCCCUGCUCCCAUGUGAGGAAUUCAAAGUCAGUCUGCAUACAAUUCCGUAGUGCUGUCACUUUGGGGACUUGGACUUCAUCAUUCUUGUACCUGAGAUAAAGCCCCCUCCCACCUCUCCCUGCACAGAUGAAGAGAAACAGGAAAAGAUUUUUUGAAAAAAAAAUUUCUUAUUAAAGAGGUGAUUCUUCUUCCUUAAUGCCCCGAAGGCUUAUCAAAAUGAGGCCUUUCCAGAAGGAAGUCUCAGGAGGAGCAGUCUUAGAGCUUCAUCAUUUGCAAGUGGGCUCAAAACCGUGUAUCUGCUCCACCCAGACUGGAAUGCCAAAGAGGGUUUCUCAAGCCACAACGCUGGGCAGUGGUCCCGAGGGUGUUGCUUCAUCCACCUGGGUUGCAGAACGAAGAUGAUGCAGAGGAGAGCCACAGCUGGUGGGUGAUGAUCAUGUUGCAAGAGUGAGAAAACAUUUUUGUGAGGUAAUAAAGGGUGAACAGAUAUUCAUCCACAUCAAAGGAGAGAUCUGAAGCCUACAUCAUGACUUAAGAAUGGAACAAUGCCUUCCGCCUUAUAAUUUUGAGAAUUGUUACUGAAAGACUGUUUGGAGUUUCCGUUCUUGGCAACACUGUGAUGCCCAAGACACCUGAGGCCAACGUUUGCAUGUUCCAUUUCAGGCCAGUUGAGCAAGAACCAAGCAACCUCACUUGGUCUACAACUGAUAUCUUACUUUUUGCCUUGGCCGACAAGUCUCAAGAUGUGAAUGAAGCUUCUAGCAAACGGUUGUCUCUCUCACCAAAUGAGUCUGUAAAGGAAGAAUAUACCUAACUGUGAUUGGCUGUCACACCGACUUUCAGGGCAUGGGGACAUUCAAAAGCAACGGGAAAUGGGCUUCAUAAAAGAUAAAAUCAAGACGCUGAAUCCUCUGGAAAAAUAAUAGUCGGAGAGGGUCCCCCUUCCUCAGCUCCCUGGCUGUUUCUGGGACACGAGAGCGGGAAACUUGGGACUUUUCCUGCAAACUCGCCCACGUGCGCGUGUGGUGUUCCCCAAAGGAAAGCACCUGAUGUGGGGUCGUUUCCCUUUGCGAAUUUCACCAGUUAACGGGAUAGGAUUUUCUAAAUGCCACGAGCAUGCCGACCAAACUGCGCGCCGUUCUCUUCGCAUUUCCUGAAGCUGGGUGCGAACUGGAGCGUUCUCACUGCGAGGUUUAAUGCUAGGAUUACUUUCCUCCAAAUGUCACCAAAAAAGAUGAGACCUGAACAUCACAGCUCGUAUAAACACUGUGUCUCCUUCCUCCUGUUACCUUCUCCCUUCUGGUUCAGAAGAGUUAUUCCCGGCGGUUGGAUCUUAAGAAAUUCCACCCAGGGCCACCUCAUAUUCCACACCCGAUUCUUAAACCCACAACACCGGAGCGGCUCCUUGCGGUCCAGCAGUGAAUGCGCCCAAACACUGGCUAGUGACAGUAGGGUCUUUUUGUGCCUGAGCGCGGGCUGCGUUAAUCCCAGAGACAGCAUGCUCUGACUGGUCGCAGUGAGCACAGAUUUCGGUUUUGGGUACGUGUGCAUCCUUUCCUAAGGGACCCACUGGGCUCCAGUGCAGUCAACAGCAUGAUAGGAGAACGAUGUUUUCUUCUUGAGGGGCGACCGAAGGCAGAUGGUUCCCCACGUGAUGGUGUUUUCGGCCUGCCAAAAUCAAGGUGCCAAGAGAGGAGCCGAGGUGCCAAAACUAGUCGAGGAGUUUUACUGCCUCAUUGUAUCCUUCCAAAUAAAAUGACAUCAAAUAUCAGAUA